Molecule: ribosomal RNA, 440 nt
Filed under: uncultured bacterium
Lineage: Bacteria
Description: partial 16S ribosomal RNA
Rfam family: Bacterial small subunit ribosomal RNA
Source: RNAcentral
CCUACGGGUGGCAGCAGUGGGGAAUAUUGCACAAUGGAGGGAACCCUGAUGCAGCAAUGCCGCGUGCGGGAAGAAGCCCUCCUGUGCGUAAAGCCCUGUUAGCAGGGAGGAAAAUGACAGUACCUGGACAAGACUGCCCGGCUAACUCCGUUCCAGCAGCCGCGGUCAUACGUAGGGGGCAAGCGUUAUCCGGAGUUACGGGGUGUAACGGGUGCGAAGGCGGCGGGGUAAGUUAGAGGUGAAACCCCGGGGCCCAACCCCGGGAGUGCAUGUGAAACUGCUAGGCUGGAGAGCCGGAGCGGUAAGCGGAAUUCCUAGUGUAGCGGUGAAAUGCGUAGAUAUUAGAAGGAACACCAGUGGCGGAGGCAGCUUACUGGACGGUAUCUGACGCUGAGGCACGAAAGCGUGGGGAGCAAACAGGAUUAGAUACCCGUGUAGUC